This 811-nucleotide non-coding RNA is filed under the name Elaphe bimaculata (Chinese leopard snake). Lineage: Eukaryota; Metazoa; Chordata; Lepidosauria; Squamata; Colubridae. The record is from RNAcentral.
UUGGUCUUAAACCCCUUAUUACUUUUACCCCCUAUUUAUACAUGCAAGACUCACCAUUACAGUGAAAUAGCCCACCAACACACUAACCGGAGCAGGCAUCAGGAAACCAGCCCAAGACGCCAAGCAAAAAUCAUAAGCCACACCCCCACGGGCCAGCAGCAGUAGAUAAUAUUAGGCCAUAAGCGCAAGCUUGACCUAGCAAGGGGGCGUAUAGGGCCGGUUAAUAUCCGUGCCAGCGACCGCGGUUACACGACAGACCCAAAAUAAUACUAACGGCGUAAAGCACGACUAAAAAUUAAGUCAAAACAUUAGGAACGAAGCCAAACCGGGCUGUAAAAAGCCAUAAGCCACACUAACCACACCCUAAUAACAAACACCUUCAACUCGUGAAAGUUAGGAUACAAACUAAGAUUAGAUACCCUACUAUGCCUAACCGUAACACAACAAUUAAAUUACCAAUUGUUCGCCAAAUAACUACGAGUAAAAACUUAAAAUUUAAAAGACUUGACGGUGCCUCAAAACAACCUAGAGGAGCCUGUCUAAUAACCGAUACCCCACGAUUAACCCAACCCACCCUAGCCUGACAGUCUAUAUACCGCCGUCGCCAGCCUACCUUGUGAAAGUAACAAAGUGAGCUUAAUAGUCAUACACUAACACGACAGGUCGAGGUGUAACUAAUGGGCGGGAUCAAGAUGGGCUACAUUUUCUAAACCAGAAAACACGAAUUAACCUAUGAAAAAGAAACUGAAGGCGGAUUUAGUAGUAUGCUGGGAACAACAAACCUAACAGAAAUCAGCGCAAUGAGGUGCGU